RNAcentral lists this ribosomal RNA (497 nucleotides) under uncultured bacterium. RNAcentral describes it as "partial 16S ribosomal RNA". It matches the Rfam family "Bacterial small subunit ribosomal RNA", at positions 28 to 507 of the family's 1533-position model. The record is from RNAcentral.
GAUGAACGCUGGCGGCGUGCCUAAUACAUGCAAGUCGAGCGGACGGACGAGAAGCUUGCUUCUCUGAUGUUAGCGGCGGACGGGUGAGUAACACGUGGAUAACCUACCUAUAAGACUGGGAUAACUUCGGGAAACCGGAACUAAUACCGGAUAAUAUUUUGAACGGCAUGGUUCAAAAGUGAAAGACGGUCUUGCUGUCACUUAUAGAUGGAUCCGCGCUGCAUUAGCUAGUUGGUAAGGUAACGGCUUACCAAGGCAACGAUGCAUAGCCGACCUGAGAGGGUGAUCGGCCACACUGGAACUGAGACACGGUCCAGACUCCUACGGGAGGCAGCAGUAGCGAAUCUUCGGCAAUGGGCGAAAGCCUGACGGAGCAACGCCGCGUGAGUGAUGAAGGUCUUCGGAUCGUAAAACUCUCUUAUUAGGGAAGAACAUAUGUGUAAGUAACUGUGCACAUCGUGACGGUACCUAAUCAGAAAGCAACGGCUAACUACGUG